CUACGGGGGGCAGCAGUGGGGAAUAUUGCACAAUGGGCGCAAGCCUGAUGCAGCCAUGCCGCGUGUAUGAAGAAGGCCUUCGGGUUGUAAAGUACUUUCAGCGGGGAGGAAGGGAGUAAAGUUAAUACCUUUGCUCAUUGACGUUACCCGCAGAAGAAGCACCGGCUAACUCCGUGCCAGCAGCCGCGGUAAUACGGAGGGUGCAAGCGUUAAUCGGAAUUACUGGGCGUAAAGCGCACGCAGGCGGUUUGUUAAGUCAGAUGUGAAAUCCCCGGGCUCAACCUGGGAACCGCAUCUGAUACUGGCAAGCGUGAGUCUCGUAGAGGGGGGUAGAAUUCCAGGUGUAGCGGUGAAAUGCGUAGAGAUCUGGAGGAAUACCGGUGGCGAAGGCGGCCCCCUGGACGAAGACUGACGCUCAGGUGCGAAAGCGUGGGGAGCAAACAGGAUUAGAUACCCUAGUAGUC
This 464-nucleotide ribosomal RNA is filed under the name uncultured bacterium. Its description in RNAcentral is "partial 16S ribosomal RNA". It matches the Rfam family "Bacterial small subunit ribosomal RNA", at positions 339 to 795 of the family's 1533-position model. The record is from RNAcentral.